UGAAUGAAGAUGAAAGGAACUAAGACAUCAAUCUAGGGGAGUACCUGAUGUAGCUUUUUGGAUCGAAAUAAGGACAAGAAAUGUGUGAAAAAAGCUGCUGGAAUUGCUUCGUUGCGGUUUCGAACCCGCACUAGAGAAACCAAGUAGCGGGUUUUGGGACUGAAUUCGGGAGCCCUCUCAAUGUUAUUUCCAAAAAUAAUCUGAACAAAACUCCUUCUCCUAAUUACCUAGUGUUCGUAGAAAUAGAAAUCUACCCGAAUCAAGCUAAAAUGAACAAGAUAAUUUCGUCACAAGAUGGCUGAAAAUCAGCCCUUUUCUUAAAAAUUCUGCAGCUUUUCUUCUUUUCUUUUUUCUGCCUUUCUGAUCUCUCUUUCUCCCUCUUUUCUUUCAUUUUCCUUUCUAUUUUUCUUCCCGAUUAUCCCCCAGAUCCUCCCCUCUCCUUUCUUUCUCUUCUCCUUUUCUUUCUUUCUUCCCCGAAACCCUUUUUUCUUCCUUUCCUUCUUGCUUUUCCUUCACUC
Molecule: long non-coding RNA, 518 nt
Filed under: Coffea arabica (coffee)
Lineage: Eukaryota; Viridiplantae; Streptophyta; Magnoliopsida; Gentianales; Rubiaceae
Description: long non-coding RNA (CARA_LNC002526)
Source: RNAcentral